GACGAACCGUCCUAACGUUGUUCGGAAUCACUGGGCUUAAAGGGCGCGUAGGCGGGUCAGCAAGUCUAGGGUGAAAUCUUUCGGCUCAACCGGAAAACUGCCUUGGAUACUGCUGAUCUCGAGGGAGGUAGGGGUCUGUGGAACUUCUGGUGGAGCGGUGAAAUGCGUUGAUAUCAGAAGGAACGCCGGUGGCGAAAGCGACGGACGGGACCUCUUCUGACGAUGAGGCGCGAAAGAUAGGGGAGCAAACGGG
Molecule: ribosomal RNA, 253 nt
Filed under: uncultured bacterium
Lineage: Bacteria
Description: partial 16S ribosomal RNA
Rfam family: Bacterial small subunit ribosomal RNA
Source: RNAcentral